This is a long non-coding RNA of Eriocheir sinensis (Chinese mitten crab), 704 nucleotides long. RefSeq lists it as uncharacterized. The transcript has 2 exons. The record is from RefSeq and is a predicted model, not a curated record. Lineage: Eukaryota; Metazoa; Arthropoda; Malacostraca; Decapoda; Varunidae.
GAAUAAUUAUGAGUCGGAAACCAGAAAAUAAACUAUCAAUCAAUCAAUUAAGAUGCUCUGAAUACGAUAACAUGGCCCCAUAACCCAAACCCAAGACUGUCUCCUCCACUCCAAUAAAUGGCUCCAUAUAUAGUUAUCGUUAAAAUGGUUAGUUAUUGGCGUUUCUUGGGAAUAAUUAUGAGUCGGAAACCUAUAAGAUGCUCUGAGUACGAUAACAUGUGCAAGUAUCAGCUGUUCGGGCAGUCAGCUGUUCUUGCCCGACCACGUGGAGAAUGGCGUCAAGGGAAGCAACCUUUCAACUUUAAUUUUAACCCUUUUUAAAUCACCGGUAAGCCCUUCCUAUGUUCUCCUGAAGGCCACAGAUGUUCCUCCUUCACUUGUGGACUUACUGGUGUUCCUGGCGUCACAUCCACCCAUCAUCCAGCCUCUGCAGCACACUGAAGGGGAGAGCACAGCCAUUCCCUGACACUAAGAGCAGCAGAAGGGAAGGAUGCCUUAAGUUAACAAGGUGUGGGGAAGCUGCUCACCAAGAUAAGAUGGCAGAGUGAGAUCCUGACAGUAAGAAGUAAAGCCCUGAAGGACAGGUAACCCAUAAGGAAACAAGACAGAAUGAGACAUUGUAACCCAACACCUGUCAGUCCAGUAUUGACAACCCCAAUGACACAUUAAAAACAAAAUAACUGACUGUAAAAUUAAUAAUCUCA